Molecule: unclassified non-coding RNA, 232 nt
Filed under: Hevea brasiliensis (rubber tree)
Lineage: Eukaryota; Viridiplantae; Streptophyta; Magnoliopsida; Malpighiales; Euphorbiaceae
Source: RNAcentral
ACAAGCUAGGGUCCUUGUUAUCAUCAUACUGACGACAGAUGCAACAUGAACACCUUCUACAAAAAGCAUCUUCGGGACUCAGAGUCGCUCGACAAGCCAAGUUUUUGCAGCAAGCCAUAUGACCCAAAUCAUUAUGGGAACUACUGGUUGGAAAGUCAUUUGCAGGAACAGAAAGUUGAGCUAGAUGCUCAGAUUUCCUCUGCCUUUUGGUAUUUUUAUGGCCACCUGCAGG